AAUCUUGCAACUGCAUUUCCCAAUCCAAAAAUAAAAGAAUAGAAACAGCACAAUUUGUGUUUUGGUUACUCCUCCUCCUUCUCUCCGACAAGUCGCCUGGUCCGUUCUGGGACCUACCCAGCGUAGUCUUCAACGGAAUCGUGAAGCCCAUUCAAACCCUGGAAAUCAUAAAACGAUUAGGGCUUGGAAUUUUUCAUUUAUUUUCUGCAANNNNNUUUCACCUUUUAAUUCAUGUACUCUUCUUUUGUCUUUUUAUUUUGUUUCAAUAAAAUUUUCAGUAAUUGCGUAUUUUUAAUAAAAUUUACUUUAAGCCACUGACUGCUGCUGAGUAAUCUAUUAGCUGAGAAAAUAGCAUCGCAACCUGUGGGGAUAAGGCUUGCCUGAUCGGAACUCCACGUUGUCUUUGCCUCGUAACGAGUCUAUUGAAUGAUUAAUAACUUUUAUUCAUUUAGGUUGUUGAAUGUUAGUUUUUUUGUCCUUUCACAGCUGUAGGACAUUAUCUCCAUACGGUCGUUAAACUUGUCGAGAGAGCUGGAUUCAAACUGAAGGUAAAUUUUAAAUUUGAACAGAAUACUAUGGGAAUAUGAAAAGAGAUAAUUGGAAUCAUAGCUUUAGGAACAUUAUAUAAAAUACUGUGGUCUUGAGCUGUAAGAAUAUUACAUUAUAUUUAAUGAGGGAGAAGGCGGCAUGGUUGAUUGGUUUUGAGAGAA
RNAcentral lists this long non-coding RNA (710 nucleotides) under Vigna radiata. Its description in RNAcentral is "long non-coding RNA (VRAD_LNC003244)". The record is from RNAcentral. Lineage: Eukaryota; Viridiplantae; Streptophyta; Magnoliopsida; Fabales; Fabaceae.